Molecule: non-coding RNA, 58 nt
Organism: Ictidomys tridecemlineatus (thirteen-lined ground squirrel)
Lineage: Eukaryota; Metazoa; Chordata; Mammalia; Rodentia; Sciuridae
Source: Rfam
UAGCUCAGUUGGUAGAGUGCUUGCCUCGCAUGCAUAAGGCCCUGGGUUCAAUCCCCAG